This 764-nucleotide ribosomal RNA is filed under the name uncultured Streptococcus sp. RNAcentral describes it as "bacterial SSU rRNA". It matches the Rfam family "Bacterial small subunit ribosomal RNA", at positions 28 to 776 of the family's 1533-position model. The record is from RNAcentral. Lineage: Bacteria; Bacillati; Bacillota; Bacilli; Lactobacillales; Streptococcaceae.
GACGAACGCUGGCGGCGUGCCUAAUACAUGCAAGUAGAACGCUGAAGGAGGAGCUUGCUUCUCCGGAUGAGUUGCGAACGGGUGAGUAACGCGUAGGUAACCUGCCUGGUAGCGGGGGAUAACUAUUGGAAACGAUAGCUAAUACCGCAUAACAGUAGAUAUUGCAUGACAUCUGCUUGAAAGGUGCAAUUGCAUCACUACCAGAUGGACCUGCGUUGUAUUAGCUAGUUGGUGAGGUAACGGCUCACCAAGGCGACGAUACAUAGCCGACCUGAGAGGGUGAUCGGCCACACUGGGACUGAGACACGGCCCAGACUCCUACGGGAGGCAGCAGUAGGGAAUCUUCGGCAAUGGACGGAAGUCUGACCGAGCAACGCCGCGUGAGUGAAGAAGGUUUUCGGAUCGUAAAGCUCUGUUGUAAGAGAAGAACGAGUGUGAGAGUGGAAAGUUCACACUGUGACGGUAUCUUACCAGAAAGGGACGGCUAACUACGUGCCAGCAGCCGCGGUAAUACGUAGGUCCCGAGCGUUGUCCGGAUUUAUUGGGCGUAAAGCGAGCGCAGGCGGUUAGAUAAGUCUGAAGUUAAAGGCUGUGGCUUAACCAUAGUACGCUCUGGAAACUGUUUAACUUGAGUGCAAGAGGGGAGAGUGGAAUUCCAUGUGUAGCGGUGAAAUGCGUAGAUAUAUGGAGGAACACCGGUGGCGAAAGCGGCUCUCUGGCUUGUAACUGACGCUGAGGCUCGAAAGCGUGGGGGAGCAAACAGG